Equus asinus (donkey) is the source of this 2367-nucleotide long non-coding RNA. The record is from Ensembl. Lineage: Eukaryota; Metazoa; Chordata; Mammalia; Perissodactyla; Equidae.
AUACAGUUGGUCACUGUUCCAUACUGGGAGCCACUUCAAGGAUGCAGCCUUGAGAGUAAUACCUUAUUACGACCAUUUGAACUGUGUAUGUGAUUGAACUCCGUUAAGGCCUCUAUAUAAACUUUUAAGAUUCUAGCAGUCGAGUGGGUGGUAAGUUCCUUUCCUCAUUAAACCUGCCACCCACCAAUCUGGAGUGGCCUACCUCUCUUUUCCCGUCUCUCCUUGCCCUAAGUGCACUGGGCCAGUUUCAAAUUUCACCUGGGGGAACUCCAGAGGUUGUGAACAAACAGAAAUAUAAAGAAAGAUCACCAUGGAUAAAGCAUGCUUGGUGGUUUUGGAAUUUAGAGGAAGUAAUGUUAUUGUUUACAACAGUGUUACUCUUCAUUAUGAGAUUUUUUUGAUCAUUAUAGUACUCUGUAAAGUUGCAAGUAAUCGCUAACAAACUCCCUCACUAAGAGAAAUUUAUAUUAAUUAAAAAAAUCUUACAAUAAAUACGCCAAAAUUAAACAAACGAGACGAAUUUAUAUAGUCUGAACACUUUUUAGUUGCCUGUAGAAUUUGGAUCAAGUUCAAUAGACACAGGUAAAUAAACUAGAAGAAAUUGCUUGAAUAAGGUAGAUAGCAUCACUUAGCAGCUGAUUCUUGUUCCGACAAAAUUUAGAGAGUAAGACAACUUUCAAGUAAAAUGGACUUGAUUUUCUUGUUCCCCAAGAGAAAAGAAUCAAGCUACUUAGGUAGGUGGAGUGAGGACUAGAACCCAAGCCUUCUGCCUCCCAGCUGAUAGUUCUCUGAUUUUCCACAGUCCUCGAGCAUUUACACACCAGCUCCAGGCGCUACCUAAGCCAGGUGCUCUCACUUUUCCAGCCCGGAUCUUCACUCACUCCUAAGAUCCUUUAACGAGUGUUCUGAGAGCUGUGCAGUCCUUCGAUUCAUUCAAAGCAUUCUACAGCGAACACUAGGGGGGAAAAGAACAAACAAGAUAAAUUUCAAAUAUAGGAUUCAAUUACUUUUCACAACUCGAUGAUGUGUCAAAGGCACGCUGUGUUUUGUUUUGAGGGCGGGGAGAUGACUGGGAGGGAAUCCUGGGCCCCCAUUGGCUGGCCGCUCUCCGCUGCAGUUGAGCUCCAGCCGCUCGGAGAGGAUUAUUGAUCUGAAGGGUAAACGUGGAGGGAGCCACAGAGAGGGGUCCAAGCGUUUCUGAGAAGAGAGGCAGCCUCUUCCAGGAAGAAAGUGGUGUCUGCUGGCUGCCCAGCUUGGAGAACCUUCUAUGAAUAAACGGGGACAGAAUGCAAGGCAGUUUGUUGCUACAGUGAUUUAGAAGGAAAACAAGAAGGAGAGAAAGAGAAAGGUCUCACCUUCCGUGCGAGCCGGGGUUGUAGCAUCCUGCUGCCGCCGUCUCUGCUUCUGCUCCUGCAGCUGCCGUGUCUGCCACCAGGAAGACAGAACUCAGGCAAAACCACACUGAUGGAUAUGUGGGAGCAGAGGACAUCGCUCAGAGCAUUUACAGAAGGCUCUUCUAUGGGCAGGAGCUAUUUUUCAUUGCAGAAAAACCCUGGAAUAGAUAAGUAUGGGCAACUAAAGCUGGAAGAGGACAGAGAAAGAUCAGACCUGAGUUAACAUCCACUGCCAAUCCUCCUCUUUUUGCUGGGGAAGAUUGGCCCUGAGCUAACAUCCAUGCCCAUCUUCCUCUAUUUUAUAUGUGGGAUGCCCGCCACAGCAUGACUUGCUAAGUAAUGCCAUGUCCACACCCAGGAUCCGAACCGGCAAACACUGGCAGCUGAAGUGGAGUGUGUGAACUUAACCUAUACACCACUGGGCCGGCCCCAAGAACCACAGCUUUAAAGGAUGCUUUUGGUGAAAAUGAGGCAGUGGAAGAAGAAGAUUAGACACAUCUGGGGAAGAAGGUUAUUGAGAACACUUGAUUACGAAAAAACUUCCCAAUGCUUAGCAACAGCAUCAUUCUAAUAUUUUAAUUGUGUAAUGGCUAAUAAAGAGUGAUAAAUUUGACUAUAGAUAUAAGGCAAGAGAAUUUUUAGUGGCUGCUAUUUUUCUGUUUUAAUUUUUGUCUGUGUCUAUAUUAUUGUAUUUUUCCUAGAGGGAAUUAUUUUUAUGUGUAAAAGGAAGAAGUUAUUUCAAUCCUAAUGGAAAACUUUUAAAUGACCAAAAUUAUACAAAUCAUCAUUCCUAUAUUUGAUUUUUUUCCCAGUGUUAGUUUCCACUUAUCUAAACUCCAAUUACUUGAAUUUUAGAAUUCUCAACUUUAAGAUGAGCAAAGUAUUUUGAAUAGCUACAUCUGUUCAAAUCUCACAGAUGGCCUUUUGUGCUUUUUUCUGAGUUCUUUAUAAUUAUGUGUGACACUGUUCUUCU